This 121-nucleotide microRNA precursor is filed under the name Aedes aegypti (yellow fever mosquito). Its description in RNAcentral is "pre miRNA AAEL028810". The record is from RNAcentral. Lineage: Eukaryota; Metazoa; Arthropoda; Insecta; Diptera; Culicidae.
AGUUUGUAUCCUUUGACAGAUACGCGUAUUUCGACCUCAACUGUAAGGCCGUCUUCAGUGUCGUGUACUAGACUAGACAGUUGAGGUCGAAAUACGCGUAUCUGUCAAAGGAUACAAACUC